RNAcentral lists this ribosomal RNA (253 nucleotides) under uncultured bacterium. Its description in RNAcentral is "partial 16S ribosomal RNA". It matches the Rfam family "Bacterial small subunit ribosomal RNA", at positions 524 to 776 of the family's 1533-position model. The record is from RNAcentral.
UACAGAGGGUGCAAGCGUUAAUCGGAAUUACUGGGCGUAAAGGGCGCGUAGGCGGAUAUUUAAGUUGGAUGUGAAAGCCCUGGGCUUAACCUAGGAAUGGCAUACAAAACUGGAUAUCUGGAGUACUGUAGAGGGUAGUGGAAUUUCCGGUGUAGCGGUGAGAUGCGUAGAGAUCGGAAGGAACACCAGUGGCGAAGGCGGCUACCUGGACAGAUACUGACGCUGAGGCGCGAGAGCGUGGGGAGCAAACAGG